GAGAGAGAGAGAGAGAGAGUUUAGCCAGAACCAGAAAUCUCAAUGGAUCUUACACUAGGCGAUCUAGCACCUUCCUUAGGAAUAGUCACAGUGAGAACUCCAUUCACCAUAGCUGCUUUAAUUUGAUCUCUUCUGGCGUUCUCAGGCAACUUGAACUUGCUCAUGAACUUACCAUUCUCUGUGCUUACUUGAAGCGUAUUAUCAUCAUCAAUGAAAACCAACACAUCCUCUCUGUUAAGCCCACGAAAUACAGCUCUAAACACAUGGGCUCUUGGGGUUUCCUGCCAAUCUACAUGGGUUUCAAGGGAUGGGAAAAUUUCCCCAGCCAAGGAUGGGAAAUGGGUGGAAACUAUGGAGGAUUGGAAUGGGAAAGGAAAAUUUAGGAAUGGAUCCCAAAGAUUUAGUGAUGAGAAGAAACCUUCUGGAUCCCACAAGUCCGAAGAGGAGCGAUUGGAGAUAGCACCUGUUUGGUCACUGAUACGAACGAUCGACAUCGGAGAAGAGAGGAAUUGCUGAAAUUGAGAAAGAGAUGAACCGAGCAGAUGAGCAGCCAGGCAGCAAAUAAAGAAAGGAGAGGAAGAAUUAGAGGAAUAAGGAAGACCACUUUUUCUUGCACUUUCUGGAAUGUGCG
RNAcentral lists this unclassified non-coding RNA (631 nucleotides) under Hevea brasiliensis (rubber tree). Lineage: Eukaryota; Viridiplantae; Streptophyta; Magnoliopsida; Malpighiales; Euphorbiaceae. The record is from RNAcentral.